RNAcentral lists this ribosomal RNA (373 nucleotides) under uncultured bacterium. Its description in RNAcentral is "bacterial SSU rRNA". It matches the Rfam family "Bacterial small subunit ribosomal RNA", at positions 525 to 896 of the family's 1533-position model. The record is from RNAcentral.
ACGUAGGGUGCGAGCGUUAAUCGGAAUUACUGGGCGUAAAGCGUGCGCAGGCGGUUUUGUAAGACAGAUGUGAAAUCCCCGGGCUUAACCUGGGAACUGCGUUUGUGACUGCAAGACUCGAGUACGGCAGAGGGGGGUGGAAUUCCACGUGUAGCAGUGAAAUGCGUAGAGAUGUGGAGGAACACCGAUGGCGAAGGCAGCCCCCUGGGUCGAUACUGACGCUCAUGCACGAAAGCGUGGGGAGCAAACAGGAUUAGAUACCCUGGUAGUCCACGCCCUAAACGAUGCCAACUAGGUGUUGGGGAAGGAGACUUCCUUAGUACCGAAGCUAACGCGUGAAGUUGGCCGCCUGGGGAGUACGGUCGCAAGAUUA